Molecule: non-coding RNA, 1279 nt
Organism: Rattus norvegicus (Norway rat)
Lineage: Eukaryota; Metazoa; Chordata; Mammalia; Rodentia; Muridae
Source: RefSeq, a predicted model, not a curated record
AGCAAAUCAGCUCCCUCCUUUUGUUUACUGGCACUGCUGUCCCUGUGUCCAUAAUAAUAAACUUAAUAAAUACCAAAUGGACCCAGUACCAAGGAGCAAGGGCGUGGCAUGUGCUAGGCUGGGGUAGUUCAAGAUUCAGUCUGAAUUCAUGUAAUUCUUGAAUCCUUCAUUCAUAAUGUUAUUUGAUCCUUGGAACAUGCCCUACCACAGGAACAACUUUGAGUCCAAGAUGCUCAUGAAGCAGCACGAGGAACUGAUGACCGACAUGAAGAAAAUGAGCGAGCAGAUCAAUUAUGCUUUGGUCAAAUGUAAAAACCUUACACUGGAAAAUGACUGAUACUGCCACAGCUUCUGCCCCCUCCUAACUGAGUUUUUUGAGCUGAAGAACAAUGCCCAGAGAGCAAGGAAUGAGAACAGGGAGCUUCUAUGGGAUCAGAUUGCACUGGAAGAGUCCAUUAAGGAAACAACAAGGUUCUGUGGGGAAGCUGUAUGAAAAUCCGUGGACCAAGCAGCCUAAGGUUGUUCACAUCUCUCCUCAACUGACAUUGAGACAUUGGGAUCUCUUACCCUUCUGUCUUGAGCAUGAGAAAAUGACCUCAGAUGAAAGAUCAUCCUGCAUUAUCCUGCUGAAUUGUGCUGCUGUGUAUGGGAUAAGUGACAUGGCAGGUCCUCACCAGGCCUUUUCUACCCCUAGGUCUGAAACACUGCAGCAGAAGCUUGCCCAGGGCCCAGACCAGGACUACAGCUCUCAGAGACAGACCUGUCCACCAGGAGCACUGAGGGUGCAAAGAUUGACAAGUCCUCCCGCAUCUCAGUCCUUGUAACCAUUCCAAUCUUGGGCUUAAUUUGAAAGACCUUGAGAUGUGGCAUGGGACAUGCCUCAACGUUUAACCUUUUGACGACUUGUCCAUCAACAACCAACCACCCCAAAUGAGGCGUCUACAUUCCUCUUGAAGAGAUUUUACCAUCUUACCUGCCGUUCUGCUGUGUUUGCAAGGCCAGCAACAGGCUGGAGUUAUAUGUUGAAAAAUCACCAGGAAUUGAAUGCUGACUAAUUUACUUGUUAUAUUUGGUUUUUAGUUUGAAGUUUGGUUUUAUGCAUUUGGAUUUAUUUGUUUAAGUUUGAAGUUUUGUUAUUCAUUUGUUAACUUUAGUUUUUUAAAUUAAUAUGCCAUAUUCCUAAGGCUAUAUACAUUGAACUCAUUGACUCCCCAAUUUAAAAUGUUCUUGAAUAAAUUAAUGUUUGUCUAUAAGUAAAAAUGUGACCUUUAACCCUUCA